AGAACGAACGCUGGCGGCAGGCUUAACACAUGCAAGUCGAGCGCCCAGCAAUGGGAGCGGCGGACGGGUGAGUAACACGUGGGAACAUGCCCUUUGGUACGGGACAACUCAGGGAAACUUGAGCUAAUACCGUAUGAGCCGGUAACGGGAAAGAUUUAUCGCCAAAGGAAUGGCCCGCGUCCGAUUAGCUAGUUGGUGAGGUAAUGGCUCACCAAGGCACCGAUCGGUAGCUGGUUUGAGAGAACGACCAGCCACACUGGGACUGAGACACGGCCCAGACUCCUACGGGAGGCAGCAGUGGGGAAUCUUGGACAAUGGGGGCAACCCUGAUCCAGCCAUGCCGCGUGAGUGAUGAAGGCCUUCGGGUUGUAAAACUCUUUCGGACGGGGACGAGUAAUGACGGUACCCGUAGAAGAAGCUACCGGCUAACUUCGCGCCAGCAGCCGC
Molecule: ribosomal RNA, 447 nt
Filed under: uncultured bacterium
Lineage: Bacteria
Description: SSU rRNA
Rfam family: Bacterial small subunit ribosomal RNA
Source: RNAcentral